RNAcentral lists this ribosomal RNA (732 nucleotides) under uncultured bacterium. RNAcentral describes it as "bacterial SSU rRNA". It matches the Rfam family "Bacterial small subunit ribosomal RNA", at positions 61 to 760 of the family's 1533-position model. The record is from RNAcentral.
GUCGAACGAAACUUCUUUAUCACCGAGUGCUUGCACUCACCGAUAAAGAGUUGAGUGGCGAACGGGUGAGUAACACGUGGGCAACCUGCCCAAAAGAGGGGGAUAACACUUGGAAACAGGUGCUAAUACCGCAUAACCAUAGUUACCGCAUGGUAACUAUGUAAAAGGUGGCUAUGCUACCGCUUUUGGAUGGGCCCGCGGCGCAUUAGCUAGUUGGUGGGGUAAAGGCUUACCAAGGCAAUGAUGCGUAGCCGAACUGAGAGGUUGAUCGGCCACAUUGGGACUGAGAAACGGCCCAAACUCCUACGGGAGGCAGCAGUAGGGAAUCUUCCACAAUGGGCGAAAGCCUGAUGGAGCAACGCCGCGUGGGUGAAGAAGGUCUUCGGAUCGUAAAACCCUGUUGUUAGAGAAGAAAGUGCGUGAGAGUAACUGUUCACGUUUCGACGGUAUCUAACCAGAAAGCCACGGCUAACUACGUGCCAGCAGCCGCGGUAAUACGUAGGUGGCAAGCGUUAUCCGGAUUUAUUGGGCGUAAAGGGAACGCAGGCGGUCUUUUAAGUCUGAUGUGAAAGCCUUCGGCUUAACCGGAGUAGUGCAUUGGAAACUGGGAGACUUGAGUGCAGAAGAGGAGAGUGGAACUCCAUGUGUAGCGGUGAAAUGCGUAGAUAUAUGGAAGAACACCAGUGGCGAAAGCGGCUCUCUGGUCUGUAACUGACGCUGAGGUUCGAAAGC